GCUAAGGAUAUAUAUAUCAGGGUGUUCCUUAUUCAGGGUGUCGACGAAUUCUUGCCAGACCAUCCCCCAAAUCAACUUCAAAUAAUUCGAAAACAAUCGCCUAAUUUUUUCAGAUUUUUACAUCGAAUCUAAGAUAGAGAUCGGAAGUGC
Molecule: long non-coding RNA, 150 nt
Filed under: Neodiprion pinetum (white pine sawfly)
Lineage: Eukaryota; Metazoa; Arthropoda; Insecta; Hymenoptera; Diprionidae
Description: uncharacterized LOC124221225
Source: RNAcentral